AGUGAACGCUGGCGGUGGGCCUAACACAUGCAAGUCGAACGGAAGCACGGUAAGAGCUUGCUCUUAAGGGUGGCGAGUGGCGGACGGGUGAGGAAUACAUCGGCAACUACUUUUUCGUGGGGGAUAACGGAGGGCAACUUACGCUACUACCUCAUAUGACCUACCGGUGGAAUCAAGGGUGAUUCGGACCUUGCCUGACUGAUAUAGACGAUGUCGGAUUAGCUAGUUGGCGGGGUAAAGGCCCACCAAGGCGACGAUACGUAGCAGGUCUGAGAGGAUGAUCAGCCACACUGGAACUGAGACACGGUCCAGACUCCUACGGGAGGCAGCAGUGGGGAAUAUUGGGCAAUGGGCGCAAGCCUGAUCCAGCCAUACCGCGUGGGUGAAGAAGGCCUUCGGGUUGUAAAGCCCUUUUGUUGGGAAAGAAAAGCUGCAGGUUAAUAUCCCGCUGUUCUGACGGUACCCAAAGAAUAAGCACCGGCUAACUUCGUG
This 492-nucleotide ribosomal RNA is filed under the name uncultured bacterium. RNAcentral's name for it is "partial 16S ribosomal RNA". It matches the Rfam family "Bacterial small subunit ribosomal RNA", at positions 29 to 507 of the family's 1533-position model. The record is from RNAcentral.